UACGAAGGGUGCUAGCGUUGUUCGGAAUUACUGGGCGUAAAGCGCACGUAGGCGGGUUUGUAAGUAGGGGGUGAAAUCCCAGGGCUCAACCCUGGAACUGCCUUCUAGACUGCAAGCCUGGAGGUCAGGAGAGGCGAGUUGAAUACCGAGUGUAGAGGUGAAAUUCGUAGAUAUUCGGUGGAACACCAGUGGCGAAGGCGACUCGCUGGACUGAUACUGACGCUGAGGUGCGAAAGCGUGGGGAGCAAACAGG
Molecule: ribosomal RNA, 253 nt
Filed under: uncultured bacterium
Lineage: Bacteria
Description: partial 16S ribosomal RNA
Rfam family: Bacterial small subunit ribosomal RNA
Source: RNAcentral